AGCAGCCGCGGUAAUUCCAGCUCCAAUAGCGUAUAUUAAAGUUGUUGCAGUUAAAAAGCUCGUAGUUGAAUUUCGGGAUCAAUCUAUCGGUCGUGCAAUAGUACGUACUGAUUUUAUUGAUUCCUCCCUUCUGAUGAACUAUGAUGUCAUUAAUUUGGUGUCAUAGGGAAUCAGGACUGUUACUUUGAAAAAAUUAGAGUGUUUAAAGCAGGCUCACGCUUGAAUACAUUAGCAUGGAAUAACGAAAUAGGACGUUUGAUUCUAUUUUGUUGGUUUCUAGGAUCGGCGUAAUGAUUAAUAGGGAUAGUUGGGGGCAUUAGUAUUCAAUUGUCAGAGGUGAAAUUCUUGGAUUUAUUGAAGACUAACUACUGCGAAAGCAUUUGCCAAGGAUGUUUUCAUUAAUCAAGAACGAAAGUUAGGGGAUCGAAGACGAUCAGAUACCGUCGUAGUCUUAACCAUAAACUAUGCCGACUAGGGAUCGGAUGAUGUUAAUUUUUUAAUGACUCAUUC
Molecule: ribosomal RNA, 510 nt
Filed under: uncultured Glomus
Lineage: Eukaryota; Fungi; Glomeromycota; Glomeromycetes; Glomerales; Glomeraceae
Description: SSU rRNA
Rfam family: Eukaryotic small subunit ribosomal RNA
Source: RNAcentral